UACGUAGGGUGCGAGCGUUGUCCGGAAUUAUUGGGCGUAAAGAGCUUGUAGGCGGUUUGUCGCGUCUGCCGUGAAAAUUCGAGGCUCAACCUCGAACUUGCGGUGGGUACGGGCAGACUAGAGUGUGGUAGGGGAGACUGGAAUUCCUGGUGUAGCGGUGAAAUGCGCAGAUAUCAGGAGGAACACCGAUGGCGAAGGCAGAUCUCUGGGCCGUAACUGACGCUGAGGAGCGAAAGCAUGGGGAGCGAACAGG
This 253-nucleotide ribosomal RNA is filed under the name uncultured bacterium. Its description in RNAcentral is "partial 16S ribosomal RNA". It matches the Rfam family "Bacterial small subunit ribosomal RNA", at positions 524 to 776 of the family's 1533-position model. The record is from RNAcentral.